CCUACGGGCGGCUGCAGUGGGGAAUAUUGCACAAUGGGGGAAACCCUGAUGCAGCAACGCCGCGUGAGCGAUGAAGGUUUUCGAAUCGUAAAGCUCUGUCCUAAGGGAAGAUAAUGACGGUACCUUAGGAGGAAGCCCCGGCUAACUACGUGCCAGCAGCCGCGGUAACACGUAGGGGGCAAGCGUUAUCCGGAAUUAUUGGGCGUAAAGGGUGCGUAGGCGGCCUUAUGGGUCAGAGGUUAAAUACUAUAGCUUAACUAUAGUCCGCCUUUGAAACUAUAAGGCUUGAGUGCAGGAGAGGAGAGUGGAAUUCCUAGUGUAGCGGUGAAAUGCGUAGAUAUUAGGAGGAAUACCAGUGGCGAAGGCGACUCUCUGGACUGCAACUGACGCUAAGGCACGAAAGCGUGGGUAGCGAACAGGCUUAGAUACCCGUGUAGUC
RNAcentral lists this ribosomal RNA (439 nucleotides) under uncultured Eubacteriales bacterium. RNAcentral describes it as "bacterial SSU rRNA". It matches the Rfam family "Bacterial small subunit ribosomal RNA", at positions 338 to 795 of the family's 1533-position model. Lineage: Bacteria; Bacillati; Bacillota; Clostridia; Eubacteriales. The record is from RNAcentral.